GGGUACUCCGCCUCCCCCGCAUGGGGGAGGCGGGAGAGCGUAUGCGGCGGGGGAUGGGCCCGCGGCCUGUUAGCUAGUUGGCGGGGCAACGGCCCACCAAGGCGAUUAUGGGUAGCUGGGUUGAGAGACCGACCAGCCAGAUUGGGACUGAGACACGGCCCAGACUCCUACGGGAGGCAGCAGUGGGGAAUCUUGCGCAAUGGGGGCAACCCUGACGCAGCGACGCCGCGUGCGGGACGAAGGCCUUCGGGUCGUAAACCGCUUUCAGCAGGGACGAGGCCGCGAGGUGACGGUACCUGCAGAAGAAGCCCCGGCUAACUACGUGCCAGCAGCCGCGGUAAUACGUAGGGGGCGAGCGUUAUCCGGAUUCAUUGGGCGUAAAGCGCUCGUAGGCUGCCCGCUAGGUCCGGGGUCAAAUCCGGGGGCUCAACCCCCGCACGCCCCGGAUACCGGCGGGCUUGAGUCGGGUAGGGGAAGGCGGAAUUCCAGGUGUAGCGGUGGAAUGCGCAGAUAUCUGGAAGGACACCGGUGGCGAAGGCGGCCUUCUGGGCCUCGACUGACGCUGAGGAGCGAAAGCUGGGGGAGCGAACAGGAUUAGAUACCCUGGUAGUCUCAGCCGUAAACGAUGGACGCUAGGU
RNAcentral lists this ribosomal RNA (638 nucleotides) under uncultured bacterium. RNAcentral's name for it is "bacterial SSU rRNA". It matches the Rfam family "Bacterial small subunit ribosomal RNA", at positions 171 to 821 of the family's 1533-position model. The record is from RNAcentral.